RNAcentral lists this transfer RNA (74 nucleotides) under Candidatus Bathyarchaeota archaeon. Its description in RNAcentral is "tRNA-Ala". It matches the Rfam family "tRNA". From Rfam's summary of the family: Transfer RNA (tRNA) molecules are approximately 80 nucleotides in length. Their secondary structure includes four short double-helical elements and three loops (D, anti-codon, and T loops). Lineage: Archaea; Thermoproteati; Candidatus Bathyarchaeota. RNAcentral also lists the same sequence under 1 other name. The record is from RNAcentral.
GGGCCGGUAGUUCAGCCUGGUGGAAUGCCCGCUUGGCAUGCGGGAGGUCGCGGGUUCAAAUCCCGCCCGGUCCA